This is a non-coding RNA of Capsicum annuum, 107 nucleotides long. The record is from Rfam. NCBI's taxonomy places the organism in Eukaryota, Viridiplantae, Streptophyta, Magnoliopsida, Solanales, Solanaceae.
UGUUGAUGAUGUGGACAAUCCUAAAGAAGAGCUUUGAACCUCUCCCAUGCAUGCUAUAAGUUGUCAUCUGGUUUUUGCUUAAAACACACAAUCUCACUGCACAAUCU